Molecule: ribosomal RNA, 917 nt
Filed under: Salmonella enterica
Lineage: Bacteria; Pseudomonadati; Pseudomonadota; Gammaproteobacteria; Enterobacterales; Enterobacteriaceae
Also listed under: 2 other names
Description: partial 23S ribosomal RNA
Rfam family: Bacterial large subunit ribosomal RNA
Source: RNAcentral
CCCUUUGGGGUGUGACUGCGUACCUUUUGUAUAAUGGGUCAGCGACUUAUAUUCUGUAGCAAGGUUAACCGAAUAGGGGAGCCGGAGGGAAACCGAGUCUUAAUUGGGCGUUAAGUUGCAGGGUAUAGACCCGAAACCCGGUGAUCUAGCCAUGGGCAGGUUGAAGGUUGGGUAACACUAACUGGAGGACCGAACCGACUAAUGUUGAAAAAUUAGCGGAUGACCUGUGGCUGGGGGUGAAAGGCCAAUCAAACCGGGAGAUAGCUGGUUCUCCCCGAAAGCUAUUUAGGUAGCGCCUCGUGAAUUCAUCUCCGGGGGUAGAGCACUGUUUCGGCUAGGGGGCCAUCCCGGCUUACCAACCCGAUGCAAACUGCGAAUACCGGAGAAUGUUAUCACGGGAGACACACGGCGGGUGCUAACGUCCGUCGUGAAGAGGGAAACAACCCAGACCGCCAGCUAAGGUCCCAAAGUCAUGGUUAAGUGGGAAACGAUGUGGGAAGGCCCAGACAGCCAGGAUGUUGGCUUAGAAGCAGCCAUCAUUUAAAGAAAGCGUAAUAGCUCACUGGUCGAGUCGGCCUGCGCGGAAGAUGUAACGGGGCUAAACCAUGCACCGAAGCUGCGGCAGCGACACUCAGGUGUUGUUGGGUAGGGGAGCGUUCUGUAAGCCUGCGAAGGUGGCCUGUGAGGGUUGCUGGAGGUAUCAGAAGUGCGAAUGCUGACAUAAGUAACGAUAAAGCGGGUGAAAAGCCCGCUCGCCGGAAGACCAAGGGUUCCUGUCCAACGUUAAUCGGGGCAGGGUGAGUCGACCCCUAAGGCGAGGCCGAAAGGCGUAGUCGAUGGGAAACGGGUUAAUAUUCCCGUACUUGGUGUUACUGCGAAGGGGGGACGGAGAAGGCUAUGUUGGCCGGGCGACGGUU